UUUUAAAUGAAUCCAAUGAGUGUGGGCUUCAGGAAAAAAACAUCCUACAAACCAUCUGUGCUAAUUGCUGGGUCACUGUGAACACUCAGAGUGGAAGUUCAUGCAGUCAUUGUCAGAGCAGGCCACUGGAGAAAACGCCCAGGAUUUCUCUUUAAAAGAAGGGCUUAUUUGCUGCAGGAGCUCAAAGACUC
This is a long non-coding RNA of Lemur catta (Ring-tailed lemur), 191 nucleotides long. RefSeq lists it as uncharacterized. The transcript is spliced from 3 exons. Lineage: Eukaryota; Metazoa; Chordata; Mammalia; Primates; Lemuridae. The record is from RefSeq and is a predicted model, not a curated record.